This 424-nucleotide ribosomal RNA is filed under the name uncultured bacterium. RNAcentral describes it as "bacterial SSU rRNA". It matches the Rfam family "Bacterial small subunit ribosomal RNA", at positions 355 to 775 of the family's 1533-position model. The record is from RNAcentral.
UGAGGAAUAUUGGUCAAUGGACGAGAGUCUGAACCAGCCAAGUCGCGUGAAGGAAGACGGCCCUACGGGUUGUAAACUUCUUUUGUAAGGGAAUAAAUAGUCUUACGCGCUAAGACGUUGCAGGUACCUUACGAAUAAGGAUCGGCUAACUCCGUGCCAGCAGCCGCGGUAAUAUGGAGGAUCCGAGCGUUAUCCGGAUUUAUUGGGUUUAAAGGGUGCGCAGGCGGCAUGUUAAGUCGGCGGUGAAAUUUUGCAGCUCAACUGUAAAAGAGCCCUCGAAACUGGCAAGCUUGAGUGUGGAUGAAGUAGGCGGAAAUUGUGGUGUAGCGGUGAAAUGCAUAGAUAUCACAAAGAACACCGAUUGUGCAGGCAGCUUACUAAACCAUAACUGACGCUCAUGCACGAAGGCGUGGGGAUCAAACAG